GAUGGACGCUAGCGAUAGGCUUAACACAUGCAAGUCGAGGGGCAGCAUGGUCUUAGCUUGCUAAGACUGAUGGCGACCGGCGCACGGGUGCGUAACGCGUAUGCAACUUGCCUCACAGAGGGGGAUAACCCGUCGAAAGACGGACUAAUACCGCGUACACUCCAUCUUGGGCAUCCAAGGUAGAGGAAAUGAAAUUCGCUGUGAGAUAGGCAUGCGUCCCAUUAGCUAGUUGGUGAGGUAACGGCUCACCAAGGCGACGAUGGGUAGGGGAACUGAGAGGUUGAACCCCCACACUGGUACUGAGACACGGACCAGACUCCUACGGGAGGCAGCAGUGAGGAAUAUUGGUCAAUGGGCGAGAGCCUGAACCAGCCAAGUCGCGUGAAGGAUGACUGUCUUAUGGAUUGUAAACUUCUUUUAUACGGGAAUAACAAGAGUCACGUGUGACUCCCUGCAUGUACCGUAUGAAUAAGCAUCGGCUAACUCCGUG
RNAcentral lists this ribosomal RNA (490 nucleotides) under uncultured bacterium. Its description in RNAcentral is "partial 16S ribosomal RNA". It matches the Rfam family "Bacterial small subunit ribosomal RNA", at positions 28 to 507 of the family's 1533-position model. The record is from RNAcentral.